GGUUAGUGUUUUAAGUGUAUUUUAAUGGUUAUUUUAAAUUGCAUUCAAGUUUAGUUCCAAGUUCAACAGGGGUUAUUAACCUCUUUCCUCCCAUACAAAUAGGAAAUAGUCCUGAAGGUCAAUGAGAGAACUCGUUCAGCGUCUCCCCUGAAUUCUGAUCCUUUGGGACAUCCUUUAUAAAACUCUUAAAUAAAAGUAUUUGCAAGAACCUUUCCACCUAUUGAGGUUUUCUCUCGUCCUGCCCUCAGAGACGGGUUUGUCCCUUACUGGGGGGACAGCAG
This 281-nucleotide long non-coding RNA is filed under the name Bos taurus (domestic cattle). RNAcentral's name for it is "long non-coding RNA NONBTAT010750". Lineage: Eukaryota; Metazoa; Chordata; Mammalia; Artiodactyla; Bovidae. The record is from RNAcentral.